CGCUAGCGACAGGCUUAACACAUGCAAGUCGAGGGGCAGCACAGGUAGCAAUACCGGGUGGCGACCGGCGCACGGGUGAGUAACGCGUAUGCAACUUGCCUAUCAGAGGGGGAUAACCCGGCGAAAGUCGGACUAAUACCGCAUGAAGCAGGGGCCCCGCAUGGGGAUAUUUGCUAAAGAUUCAUCGCUGAUAGAUAGGCAUGCGUUCCAUUAGGCAGUUGGCGGGGUAACGGCCCACCAAACCGACGAUGGAUAGGGGUUCUGAGAGGAAGGUCCCCCACAUUGGUACUGAGACACGGACCAAACUCCUACGGGAGGCAGCAGUGAGGAAUAUUGGUCAAUGGGCGUAAGCCUGAACCAGCCAAGUCGCGUGAGGGAUGAAGGUUCUAUGGAUCGUAAACCUCUUUUAUAAGGGAAUAAAGUGCGGGACGUGUCCCGUUUUGUAUGUACCUUAUGAAUAAGGAUCGGCUAACUCCGUGCCAGCAGCCGCGGUAAUACGGAGGAUCCGAGCGUUAUCCGGAUUUAUUGGGUUUAAAGGGUGCGUAGGCGGCCUUUUAAGUCAGCGGUGAAAGUCUGUGGCUCAACCAUAGAAUUGCCGUUGAAACUGGGAGGCUUGAGUAUGUUUGAGGCAGGCGGAAUGCGUGGUGUAGCGGUGAAAUGCUUAGAUAUCACGCAGAACCCCGAUUGCGAAGGCAGCCUGCCAAGCCAUUACUGACGCUGAUGCACGAAAGCGUGGGGAUCAAACAGGAUUAGAUACCCUGGUAGUCCACGCAGUAAACGAUGAUCACUAGCUGUUUGCGAUACACUGUAAGCGGCACAGCGAAAGCGUUAAGUGGUCCACCUGGGGAGUACGCCGGCAACGGUGAAACUCAAAGGAAUUGACGGGGGCCCGCACAAGCGGAGGAACAUGUGGUUUAAUUCGAUGAUACGCGAGGAACCUUACCCGGGUUUGAACGCAUUUUGACAGCUCUGGAAACAGAGCCUCUAGCAAUAGCGAUUUGCGAGGUGCUGCAUGGUUGUCGUCAGCUCGUGCCGUGAGGUGUCGGCUUAAGUGCCAUAACGAGCGCAACCCUUGCCACUAGUUACUAACAGGUAAAGCUGAGGACUCUGGUGGGACUGCCAGCGUAAGCUGCGAGGAAGGCGGGGAUGACGUCAAAUCAGCACGGCCCUUACAUCCGGGGCGACACACGUGUUACAAUGGCGUGGACAAAGGGAGGCCACCUGGCGACAGGGAGCGAAUCCCCAAACCACGUCCCAGUUCGGAUCGGAGUCUGCAACCCGACUCCGUGAAGCUGGAUUCGCUAGUAAUCGCGCAUCAGCCAUGGCGCGGUGAAUACGUUCCCGGGCCUUGUACACACCGCCCGUCAAGCCAUGGGAGCCGGGGGUACCUGAAGUGCGUAACCGCGAGGAGCGCCCUAGGGUA
This 1423-nucleotide ribosomal RNA is filed under the name uncultured organism. Its description in RNAcentral is "16S ribosomal RNA". It matches the Rfam family "Bacterial small subunit ribosomal RNA". The record is from RNAcentral.